This 2958-nucleotide ribosomal RNA is filed under the name Acinetobacter baumannii. Its description in RNAcentral is "bacterial LSU rRNA". It matches the Rfam family "Bacterial large subunit ribosomal RNA". Lineage: Bacteria; Pseudomonadati; Pseudomonadota; Gammaproteobacteria; Moraxellales; Moraxellaceae. The record is from RNAcentral.
GUUGUAUAGUCAAGUAAUUAAGUGCAUGUGGUGGAUGCCUUGGCAGUCAGAGGCGAUGAAAGACGUGAUAGCCUGCGAAAAGCUCCGGGGAGGCGGCAAAUAUCCUUUGAUCCGGAGAUGUCUGAAUGGGGGAACCCACCUACUUUAAGGUAGGUAUUGCAACAUGAAUACAUAGUGUUGCAAGGCGAACGAGGGGAAGUGAAACAUCUCAGUACCCUUAGGAAAAGAAAUCAAUUGAGAUUCCCUCAGUAGCGGCGAGCGAACGGGGAUCAGCCCAUUAAGUUAUGUGUGUUUUAGUGGAACGCUCUGGGAAGUGCGAACGUAGAGGGUGAUAUUCCCGUACACGAAAGGGCACACAUAAUGAUGACGAGUAGGGCGAGGCACGUGAAACCUUGUCUGAAUAUGGGGGGACCAUCCUCCAAGGCUAAAUACUCCUGACUGACCGAUAGUGAACCAGUACCGUGAGGGAAAGGCGAAAAGAACCCCUGUGAGGGGAGUGAAAUAGAUCCUGAAACCGCAUGCAUACAAGCAGUGGGAGCACCUUCGUGGUGUGACUGCGUACCUUUUGUAUAAUGGGUCAGCGACUUAUAUUCAGUAGCAAGGUUAACCGUAUAGGGGAGCCGUAGAGAAAUCGAGUCUUAAUAGGGCGUUUAGUUGCUGGGUAUAGACCCGAAACCAGGCGAUCUAUCCAUGAGCAGGUUGAAGGUUGGGUAACACUAACUGGAGGACCGAACCCACUGUCGUUGAAAAGCCAGGGGAUGACUUGUGGAUAGGGGUGAAAGGCUAAUCAAGCCUGGUGAUAGCUGGUUCUCCCCGAAAGCUAUUUAGGUAGCGCCUCGGACGAAUACCAUAGGGGGUAGAGCACUGUUUCGGCUAGGGGGUCAUCCCGACUUACCAAACCGAUGCAAACUCCGAAUACCUAUGAGUACUAUCCGGGAGACAGACUGCGGGUGCUAACGUCCGUAGUCAAGAGGAAAACAAUCCAGACCGCCAGCUAAGGCCCCAAAAUCAUAGUUAAGUGGGAAACGAUGUGGGAAGGCAUAGACAGCUAGGAGGUUGGCUUANNNNNNNNNNNNNNNNNNNNNNNNNNNNNNGAAGCAGCCACCCUUUAAAGAAAGCGUAAUAGCUCACUAGUCGAGUCGGCCUGCGCGGAAGAUGUAACGGGGCUAAAACUAUGUGCCGAAGCUGCGGAUGUAUACUUUGUAUACGUGGUAGGGGAGCGUUCUGUAAGCCGAUGAAGGUGUGUUGAGAAGCNNNNNNNNNNAUGCUGGAGGUAUCAGAAGUGCGAAUGCUGACGUGAGUAACGACAAAACGGGUGAAAAACCCGUUCGCCGAAAGACCAAGGGUUCCAGUCCAACGUUAAUCGGGGCUGGGUGAGUCGACCCCUAAGGCGAGGCCGAAAGGCGUAGUCGAUGGGAAAAUGGUUAAUAUUCCAUUACUUCUGUGUAAUGCGAUGAGAGGACGGAGAAGGCUAAAUCAGCCUGGCGUUGGUUGUCCAGGUGAAAGGAUGUAGGCAUGUAUCUUAGGCAAAUCCGGGGUACUCUAUGCUGAGAUCUGAUAGCAAGCUGUACUUGUACAGCGAAGUGGUUGAUGCCAUGCUUCCAGGAAAAGUCUCUAAGCUUCAGUUACACAGGAAUCGUACCCGAAACCGACACAGGUGGUCAGGUCGAGUAGACCAAGGCGCUUGAGAGAACUCUGCUGAAGGAACUAGGCAAAAUGGUACCGUAACUUCGGGAGAAGGUACGCUGUUGUUGGUGAUGGAACUCGCUUCCUGAGCUGACGACAGCCGCAGAAACCAGGCCGCUGCAACUGUUUAUUAAAAACAUAGCACUCUGCAAACACGAAAGUGGACGUAUAGGGUGUGAUGCCUGCCCGGUGCUGGAAGGUUAAUUGAUGGGGUUAGCGUAAGCGAAGCUCUUGAUCGAAGCCCCAGUAAACGGCGGCCGUAACUAUAACGGUCCUAAGGUAGCGAAAUUCCUUGUCGGGUAAGUUCCGACCUGCACGAAUGGCAUAAUGAUGGCGGCGCUGUCUCCAGCAGAGGCUCAGUGAAAUCGAAAUCGCUGUGAAGAUGCAGUGUACCCGCGGCUAGACGGAAAGACCCCGUGAACCUUUACUGCAGCUUGACACUGAACUUUGACCUUACUUGUGUAGGAUAGGUGGGAGGCUUUGAAGCUGGAACGCUAGUUCCAGUGGAGCCGUCCUUGAAAUACCACCCUGGUAAUGUUGAGGUUCUAACUCUGUCCCGUGAUCCGGGACGAGGACCGUGUCUGGUGGGUAGUUUGACUGGGGCGGUCUCCUCCUAAAGAGUAACGGAGGAGUACGAAGGUGCGCUCAGCGUGGUCGGAAAUCACGCGUAGAGUAUAAAGGCAAAAGCGCGCUUAACUGCGAGACCCACAAGUCGAGCAGGUACGAAAGUAGGUCUUAGUGAUCCGGUGGUUCUGUAUGGAAGGGCCAUCGCUCAACGGAUAAAAGGUACUCUGGGGAUAACAGGCUGAUACCGCCCAAGAGUUCAUAUCGACGGCGGUGUUUGGCACCUCGAUGUCGGCUCAUCUCAUCCUGGGGCUGAAGCAGGUCCCAAGGGUAUGGCUGUUCGCCAUUUAAAGAGGUACGCGAGCUGGGUUUAGAACGUCGUGAGACAGUUCGGUCCCUAUCUACCGUGGGCGCUGGAAAUUUGAGAGGAUCUGCUCCUAGUACGAGAGGACCAGAGUGGACGAACCUCUGGUGUACCGGUUGUGACGCCAGUCGCAUCGCCGGGUAGCUAUGUUCGGAAGGGAUAACCGCUGAAAGCAUCUAAGCGGGAAGCCUACCUCAAGAUAAGAUUUCCCUAGGACUUUAUGUCCUCUAAAGAGCCGUUCGAGACUAGGACGUUGAUAGGUUGGAUGUGGAAGCAUAGUGAUAUGUGAAGCUGACCAAUACUAAUUGCUCGUGAGGCUUGACUAUACAACACCCAAGCAGUUG